This 112-nucleotide ribosomal RNA is filed under the name Periophthalmus magnuspinnatus. The record is from RNAcentral. Lineage: Eukaryota; Metazoa; Chordata; Actinopteri; Gobiiformes; Gobiidae.
GCAUAUGGGCUUGAACUUGAGAAUGUCCGAACUCAUUUGAUCUCGGAAGCUAAGCAGGGUUGGGCCUGGUUUGUGUGGGAGAACACUGGGAAUACCAGGUACUGCAUCGGCU